This 496-nucleotide ribosomal RNA is filed under the name uncultured Desulfobulbus sp. RNAcentral's name for it is "bacterial SSU rRNA". It matches the Rfam family "Bacterial small subunit ribosomal RNA", at positions 888 to 1382 of the family's 1533-position model. Lineage: Bacteria; Pseudomonadati; Thermodesulfobacteriota; Desulfobulbia; Desulfobulbales; Desulfobulbaceae. The record is from RNAcentral.
GCUACAGAAACUUAAAGGAAUUGACGGGACCCGCACAAGCGGUGGAGUAUGUGGUUUAAUUCGAUGCAACGCGAAGAACCUUACCUGGUCUUGACAUCCCGGAGACCCUUAGGAAACUAGGGGGUGCUUCCAUCUGGAAGAAUCUGGAGACAGGUGCUGCAUGGCUGUCGUCAGCUCGUGUCGUGAGAUGUUGGGUUAAGUCCCGCAACGAGCGCAACCCUUGCCUUUAGUUGCCAGCAGUUCGGCUGGGCACUCUAAAGGGACUGCCGGUGUUAAACCGGAGGAAGUGGGGAUGACGUCAAGUCCUCAUGGCCUUCAUGGCCAGGGCUACACACGUACUACAAUGGCCGAUACAAAGGGCAGCGACACUGCGAGGUGAAGCCAAUCCCGUAAAAUCGGUCUCAGUCCGGAUUGGAGUCUGCAACUCGACUCCAUGAAGUUGGAAUCGCUAGUAAUCGUGGAUCAGCAUGCCACGGUGAAUACGUUCCCGGGCCUU